Molecule: ribosomal RNA, 253 nt
Filed under: uncultured bacterium
Lineage: Bacteria
Description: partial 16S ribosomal RNA
Rfam family: Bacterial small subunit ribosomal RNA
Source: RNAcentral
UACGGGGGGGGCAAGCGUUGUUCGGAAUUACUGGGCGUAAAGGGCUCGUAGGCGGCCAACUAAGUCGGAUGUGAAAUCCCCAGGCUUAACCUGGGAACUGCGUGUGAUACUGGAUGGCUUGAAUUCGGGAGAGGGAUGCAGAAUUCCAGGUGUAGCGGUGAAAUGCGUAGAUAUCUGGAGGAAUACCGGUGGCGAAGGCGGCAUCCUGGACCGACAUUGACGCUGAACGGCGAAAGCUAGGGGAGCAAACGGG